CACCGCCACGGAUGUCAAGGUGAGGAGAAAACGCUGCCGUUUCGGAAUGGUCCGAUCACCGUUUUGGCGGAUUUGUAUUAUUUCGAACUUGAAAGAGGCUUGGAUCUAGCAUUGAAGUUGUAAAUACUUUUUUUUUUCACAAUAUUUUCACAAAAGUGUUGCAUUAAAUUUUCACGAUAACUUUAAUAUUUUUUUUCUUACUAAAAAGAUGGAUUUUUUUUAUAUAAAUAAGAUUGUAUUACGAGGAGUAUAAAGGGUAAUAAAGGAA
Molecule: long non-coding RNA, 268 nt
Filed under: Lathyrus oleraceus (garden pea)
Lineage: Eukaryota; Viridiplantae; Streptophyta; Magnoliopsida; Fabales; Fabaceae
Description: Pisum sativum (pea) long non-coding RNA (PSAT_LNC007718)
Source: RNAcentral